Hordeum vulgare subsp. vulgare (domesticated barley) is the source of this 663-nucleotide long non-coding RNA. RefSeq lists it as uncharacterized. The record is from RefSeq and is a predicted model, not a curated record. The transcript is spliced from 2 exons. NCBI's taxonomy places the organism in Eukaryota, Viridiplantae, Streptophyta, Magnoliopsida, Poales, Poaceae.
UCCUUUUCCUCACUUUUGACAUGGGGACACGCCCGACCAAAUCCCACCCCAUGCGGUCACCUUCCAAAUCUCGCCUCAGCUCCGUCGGAAUCAAAUCCCAUGCGAUCUCCUCGCCGAUCUAUUGCCGCCCGAGCUCACGUCCUCGCCCCUAUAAAGCCCCUUGCAUCGCUGCUCGAUGCCGCCCCGAAUCCCCCUCGCAAAAACGCUCUCACUCUCGAUAUUGCUCGUCGGAGCUCCACUCUCGCGCCAAUGUCCUUGAUCUCGCCCCACUCCCUCUGGCUCCCCGACCCCCCUCGUCUCCACCAAACUUCCCGCCUCGCUCCGCCUCAUCGUAUGGUGUCGUUGCCCUCGUCGGAUGACCACUGGAGCAGCCAGGACGACCGUCGCUCGAAGCACCCUCGUCGAAGACACGACGAAGAUUGCCCCUGCCCUGUAGGUUUUCUCUACCGAAGUGUGAGGUCUACGUCCUAUGCUCGGUGUUGCCCUUUGGAGUUGGAUGGCCUCAGCUACCUUCAGGCUUCCGCAGGAUUAGGAUAGCGCUAUCUCAUGAGUUGGAUUUUAGCCAAGUUAUUUUUGUAAUAGUUACUCUAUAUGAGAUUGCGACUAAUAAAUCAUGUGUGAAUGAACUCUGUUAUAUUCACUGAUGUAUUGUGUGUGCUAGCA